GACGAACGCUGGCGGCGUGCCUAAUACAUGCAAGUUGAGCGCUGAAGGUUGGUACUUGUACCAACUGGAUGAGCAGCGAACGGGUGAGUAACGCGUGGGGAAUCUGCCUUUGAGCGGGGGACAACAUUUGGAAACGAAUGCUAAUACCGCAUAAAAACUUUAAACACAAGUUUUAAGUUUGAAAGAUGCAAUUGCAUCACUCAAAGAUGAUCCCGCGUUGUAUUAGCUAGUUGGUGAGGUAAAGGCUCACCAAGGCGAUGAUACAUAGCCGACCUGAGAGGGAGGACCGGCAAAUUGGGAAUUGGACACCGCCCAAACCUCCACGGGGGGCAGCAGGAGGGGAUCUUCGGCAAUGGACGGAAGUCUGAACGCACACCGGCGGGGGGGUGAAGGAGGGUUUCGGGUCGGAAAACUCUGUUGGUAGGGAAGAACGUGGGUGAGGGUGAAAAGCGCAUCAAGUGACGGUAACUAACCAGAAAGGAACGGCUAACUACGUG
RNAcentral lists this ribosomal RNA (497 nucleotides) under uncultured bacterium. RNAcentral's name for it is "partial 16S ribosomal RNA". It matches the Rfam family "Bacterial small subunit ribosomal RNA", at positions 28 to 507 of the family's 1533-position model. The record is from RNAcentral.